This 476-nucleotide ribosomal RNA is filed under the name uncultured bacterium. RNAcentral describes it as "bacterial SSU rRNA". It matches the Rfam family "Bacterial small subunit ribosomal RNA", at positions 328 to 793 of the family's 1533-position model. The record is from RNAcentral.
UGACAGUACUCCUACGGGGAGGCAGCAGUGGGGGAAUAUUGCACAAUGGGCGCAAGCCUGAUGCAGCCAUGCCGCGUGUGUGAAGAAGGCCUUCGGGUUGUAAAGCACUUUCAGUCGUGAGGAAGGUAGUGUAGUUAAUAGCUGCAUUAUUUGACGUUAGCGACAGAAGAAGCACCGGCUAACUCCGUGCCAGCAGCCGCGGUAAUACGGAGGGUGCGAGCGUUAAUCGGAAUUACUGGGCGUAAAGCGCAUGCAGGUGGUUUGUUAGGUCAGAUGUGAAAGCCCGGGGCUCAACCUCGGAAUAGCAUUUGAAACUGGCAGACUAGAGUACUGUAGAGGGGGGUAGGAAUUUCAGGUGUAGCGGUGAAAUGCGUAGAGAUCUGAAGGAAUACCGGUGGCGAAGGCGGCCCCCUGGACAGAUACUGACACUCAGAUGCGAAAGCGUGGGGAGCAAACAGGAUUAGAUACCCUGGUAG